GAGACCACACCCUUCUUUUUCUUUAUCUGCAAAUCACCAUUCUUCAAAGUCAUAACAAACAUUUCUCAUUAUUCAUGUGAACCACUCACCUUUUCACUCAUAAAAACACAAAAUAUCACUUUUUCUUUUGAUGUUCUCAUGGAUCCAUCCUUCUCACCACAAAUCUUCAUCUUCAAUAGUCCAUCCAAACCUCAACCCAAU
RNAcentral lists this long non-coding RNA (201 nucleotides) under Lathyrus oleraceus (garden pea). RNAcentral describes it as "Pisum sativum (pea) long non-coding RNA (PSAT_LNC017958)". The record is from RNAcentral. Lineage: Eukaryota; Viridiplantae; Streptophyta; Magnoliopsida; Fabales; Fabaceae.